UACUCGAGUGGCGAACGGGUGAGUAACACGUGGGUGAUCUGCCCUGCACUCUGGGAUAAGCCUGGGAAACUGGGUCUAAUACCGGAUAGGACCAUGCUUUAGUGUGUGUGGUGGAAAGUUUUUUCGGUGUAGGAUGAGCCCGCGGCCUAUCAGCUUGUUGGUGGGGUAAUGGCCUACCACGGCGGCGACGGGUAGCCGGACUGAGAGGUUGGUCGGCCACAUUGGGACUGAGAUACGGCCCAG
This 243-nucleotide ribosomal RNA is filed under the name uncultured Actinomycetales bacterium. RNAcentral describes it as "partial 16S ribosomal RNA". It matches the Rfam family "Bacterial small subunit ribosomal RNA", at positions 88 to 334 of the family's 1533-position model. Lineage: Bacteria; Bacillati; Actinomycetota; Actinomycetes; Actinomycetales. The record is from RNAcentral.